This 346-nucleotide ribosomal RNA is filed under the name Channa punctata (spotted snakehead). Its description in RNAcentral is "partial 12S ribosomal RNA". It matches the Rfam family "Bacterial small subunit ribosomal RNA", at positions 1032 to 1533 of the family's 1533-position model. Lineage: Eukaryota; Metazoa; Chordata; Actinopteri; Anabantiformes; Channidae. The record is from RNAcentral.
CUUCCGCCUAUAUACCACCGUCGUCAGCUUACCCUGUGAAGGAAGAAUAGUAAGCAAAACUGGCACAGCCCAAAACGUCAGGUCGAGGUGUAGCGCAUGAGAGGGGAAGAAAUGGGCUACAUUCAUUAUACUAGUGAAUACGAACGAUGCCCUGAAACGGGCAUCUAAAGGAGGAUUUAGCAGUAAGCAGAGAAUAGAGUGCUCCGCUGAAACCGGCUCUAAAGCGCGCACACACCGCCCGUCACUCUCCCCGUCUAAUUCUUUUCCUUUACUAAAAACACCAACAAUCUCCAAGGGGAGGCAAGUCGUAACAUGGUAAGUGUACCGGAAGGUGCACUUGGUUAAA